CGCGUAGGCGGUUAUUUAAGUCAGAUGUGAAAUCCCUGGGCUCAACCUAGGAACUGCAUUUGAUACUGGAUAACUAGAGUGUGGUAGAGGUGAGUGGAAUUUCAGGUGUAGCGGUGAAAUGCGUAGAGAUCUGAAGGAACAUCAGUGGCGAAGGCGACUCACUGGGCCAUUACUGACGCUGAGGUGCGAAAGCGUGGGUAGCAAACA
RNAcentral lists this ribosomal RNA (207 nucleotides) under uncultured bacterium. Its description in RNAcentral is "partial 16S ribosomal RNA". It matches the Rfam family "Bacterial small subunit ribosomal RNA", at positions 568 to 774 of the family's 1533-position model. The record is from RNAcentral.